Non-coding RNA from Felis catus (domestic cat), 85 nucleotides. NCBI's taxonomy places the organism in Eukaryota, Metazoa, Chordata, Mammalia, Carnivora, Felidae. The record is from Rfam.
GCCUGGGUGGCUCAGUCGGUUAAGCGUCCGACUUCAGCUCAGGUCACGAUCUCGCGGUCCGUGGGUUCAAGCCCCGCGUCGGGCU